This 773-nucleotide ribosomal RNA is filed under the name uncultured Neocallimastigales. Its description in RNAcentral is "partial large subunit ribosomal RNA". It matches the Rfam family "Eukaryotic large subunit ribosomal RNA", at positions 24 to 621 of the family's 3401-position model. The record is from RNAcentral. Lineage: Eukaryota; Fungi; Neocallimastigomycota; Neocallimastigomycetes; Neocallimastigales.
UAUCUCUGUAGAGUCUGCAUAUCAAUAAGCGGAGGAAAAGAAACUAACAAGGAUUCCCUUAGUAACGGCGAGUGAAGCGGGAAGAGCUCAAAUUUGAAAUCUUCAAGGUUUUACCUUGACGAAUUGUAGUUUAAAGAAGUGUUUUCUGUUGAGUUUCGGUAAAAGUUCUUUGGAAUAGGGACAUCAUAGAGGGUGAGAAUCCCGUAUUUGACCAUUAUUUCAGCUGUGUGAUACACUUUCAAAGAGUCGGAUUGUUUGGGAAUGCAGUCCAAAAUGGGUGGUGAAUUUCAUCUAAAGCUAAAUAUUGGCGAGAGACCGAUAGCGAACAAGUACCGUGAGGGAAAGAUGAAAAGAACUUUGAAAAGAGAGUUAUAUAGUACGUGAAAUUGUCAAAAGGGAAGCGUUUGACACCAGUGUUGUUUUCUCGAAAAUCAAUUAAAAAUGGCUUGAUUUUGUGUUGCAUUGACCUUAAAAGCUUUCUUCACUUUUUUCAUGUCUUUUUUAAUGCACUUUUCGUUUAACAAGUCAACAUCAGUUUCUUUUGUUGUAAAAAGGUCAUUGGAAGGUGGCUUUCUUUUCGGAGAAAGUGUUUAUAGCCUUUGACUUCUGCAAUCGGAGAGACUGAGGUCUGCAGCGUAGAUCCUUCUGGAUUAGAUUCAUUUGUGCUAAGUUACAACCGUUUAUAGACAACUUGUUGACUAUAUUCGAUCCUGUAGCUUACUCGCUUAUGUAAUUUUACCUACGCUUAGGAUGUUGAUAUGCAUGACUGAUAU